This 171-nucleotide unclassified non-coding RNA is filed under the name soil metagenome. RNAcentral's name for it is "partial contains 5.8S ribosomal RNA, internal transcribed spacer 2, and large subunit ribosomal RNA". The record is from RNAcentral.
AACCUAGCACACCUGCGGUGUGUACCUGCGGAGGGAUCAUUAAUAAAUGUUACUUCGGUAACUUAAUUAAUCCCUAACACCUGUGCAUCUUGUCGCUCCGGCGUCAUUUUAUAAACAUCAGUGUAAUGAAUGUAAAGUAUUAUAACAAAUACAACUUUCAACAAUGGAUCU